GGCCACGUGACCUGGCGCGCCCCGCCUCCUCCACGGCUGGGCCGCCAUGUUGGGGCGGGGCCUGGACUUUCAGGGAGGGGCCCUGGGCCUUAUUCUGUGUUUCACACUGCAUGGUUCUGUUGAUGUCUCUCCCAUUACCUCACCUGCUGUGUUUGACCUUCAGUCCAUCACUAUGAAGGAUUCAAUUAGUGGCCAAGCGCUGCUGCUAACAAGAUAUUUCAGUUGUGAGCUGUUUGGGCCUCCCACUGAAGGUAGGUAGGUCUGUGUGUGCAUGUUUUCUUUUCAGACUGAGCCCAAACAUCUUUUGUUUUUUCCUUUUUUGCCAAAAAAAAAAAUAAAAAAAUAAAAAAAAAUAAAAAAAAUAAAAAAAAAUAAAAAAAAACCAAAACAAACAAAAAAAAAACAAAAAAAACCACACAACCCACACUGGAGAGAUUAAAAAAAAAAAAAUCAUUCCAAAGAUCCUGCUUUUUAAUCAUGAUGUGAAAUCUAGCAGUCCUUAAGGAAACUUAACGACAUAAAUAUCAAUAGAUCUCUCUCUCUGUGUUCGGGACGCUACAAAUGGGGUGGGUGUGGGAUACAACAGGAUUGCAUAGAGGAACUCCUUUCUCAAGAAUAAACAGUUCUGGAUUAGGGCUGUGGUGUUGGUUCCAGGAAUCUAUACAGGUGACAAAAUGGAAUAGACAUCCACACACAUCCACACUCACUGGUGAGGACAUGUAAAAGCUGAUAAAACCCAAAUAAGGUACGGAGUCUAGUUAAUUGCAUUGCACUCAGGUCGGUUUCCUGAUGUUGAACUAACAGUGUACUAUGGUUAGGGUAAGAUGGAAGCUGGGUGAAGGGCCCAUGGGACUCUCUGUAUUAUUUUUGUGAAUAUGUGUCCAGAGUUUUUUUAUUCAUUGAAAUACCAUAAACAUGUUUGAUAGACAAAUGACAGACCGAGAAGUCUCUGCACCCAAUAUGACACAGGCAUAUGGGGGUUCUUGCCAAUUAGGGAAGAGAUGAGCUUUUCCAACGGGAAAGCCGGCAAGCAUAUGCACAGGCAACCUCCAACAGUGCUGGGGACCCCCACACUCCACCAGUGGUGAAGAGUGGCCCACGUCACAGCCUGGAAGAAACCAAUGCCUCCACCUGCCGCCUCUGAGACCUUGACCUUCUGCCAACAGACACUUACUGUUUUGGAGUUGCCCAUCAUGCAUCCUCCUUCCUGUUGGCACCCCACUUCCAUUUCUGGGCCUCAUCGUCAGGGUAGGAAUGUGACCAACUGAAGUUAGGCCAAUGGAUGCUGUUUCGUGACAAUCUACUGAGUGAGUGAGGCAGGAGUAGAAUGUCCUGAUGAAGAGCUCCUGCUUUGAGACAAAUGCAGGUUUCUAGCUGCCAAGGCUCCUGGAGCAAACCCAGUGCCCUUUGCCACCUGUUUCUGUCCUCCUGUGACUUGUGACUAGUUUCCUCUUCCUCUUUAUUUCACAGUGGUUUAACUGAAAGACAUCUUAUUCCCAAGACUGAUUUUAAACAUUCCUUCGCUGAGCUUCCUACCUGUAAGACACACGGAGAUUGACGACAUUGUUCAGUUUGCAAUAUGGAUGACAAGGGGCUGAUUGCCUUCAUAUAUAAAGGGAGUCCACAAUUCAAUGAGGCCAAUAGGUCAAAAGAAAGGUGGGCGAUGAUUACUAGAAAACAAGAAUCUUAAAACAUGAAAAUAUUCCCACACAUGGAAGAAAUGGGAGUUCAAACGACAGUGAGAUGCUACCUUUGACCACUAAGAUUGGCAAUGAUAAAAAUAUUUGAUAG
This 1791-nucleotide long non-coding RNA is filed under the name Canis lupus familiaris (dog). RNAcentral describes it as "lncRNA (ENSCAFG00000056162.1)". The record is from RNAcentral. Lineage: Eukaryota; Metazoa; Chordata; Mammalia; Carnivora; Canidae.